CCUACGGGCGGCAGCAGUGAGGAAUAUUGGUCAAUGGGUGCGAGCCUGAACCAGCCAAGUCGCGUGAGGGAUGAAGGUUCUAUGGAUCGUAAACCUCUUUUAUAAGGGAAUAAAGUGUGGGACGUGUCCUAUUUUGUAUGUACCUUAUGAAUAAGGAUCGGCUAACUACGUGCCAGCAGCCGCGGUAAUACGGAGGAUCCGAGCGUUAUCCGGAUUUAUUGGGUUUAAAGGGUGCGUAGGCGGCCUUUUAAGUCAGCGGUGAAAGUCUGUGGCUCAACCAUAGAAUUGCCGUUGAAACUGGGGGGCUAGAGUAUGUUUGAGGCAGACGGAAUGCGUGGUGUAGCGGUGAAAUGCUUAGAUAUCACGCAGAACCCCGAUUGCGAAGGCAGCCUGCCAAGCCAUGACUGACGCUGAUGCACGAAAGCGUGGGGAUCAAACAGGAUUAGAUACCCGAGUAGUC
This 460-nucleotide ribosomal RNA is filed under the name uncultured bacterium. RNAcentral describes it as "partial 16S ribosomal RNA". It matches the Rfam family "Bacterial small subunit ribosomal RNA", at positions 338 to 795 of the family's 1533-position model. The record is from RNAcentral.